This 493-nucleotide long non-coding RNA is filed under the name Monodelphis domestica (gray short-tailed opossum). RNAcentral describes it as "lncRNA (ENSMODG00000045433.1)". The record is from RNAcentral. Lineage: Eukaryota; Metazoa; Chordata; Mammalia; Didelphimorphia; Didelphidae.
GUCAGCUUUCUAUUCAUCAUGAGAGUAGACUCUCAAGACAAUUUACUAGCAGUGGAGUUAGACUCUGGACUUAUUCUGCCUCCUCACAUGUAAUAGAGAAGUGGAUUCAUCUAAUCUAAAAGAACUGGCCCAUGUAUGCGAUAGGUGAACCCAUGAAGGUCUAAUCCCUGGCUACAAGGGGAGGCUGUGACUUCCACCUCUGCUGUGAGUUAGAGGUGGCAUAUGGCACCAUUGUCAGGAAGAUGCUGUUGUUGGUCUUUUCUACUUGAGGAGGAACAAUGCCAUCAUAAUGUUGGUGUCAGGGUACCAUGAGUCUGUGGCUGAUCGGUCUAAUAUGAGUUUGGAAGACUCUACCACAGAUUGGGCAUGAAUAGUUUGGAAUUGGAUGUCUCUAGAUUUGUGCAUCUCACAUUUCCUCUGCUGUGAUUCUGCUUUGCUCAUAGACUACAGUGCCAGUAGCCUAGCAGAGGAAGGGCAGGUGUGGAUAUUUUGA